CCUACCAGUCCAUGGUUUUACGUUUGGGAAAAAAAGGCCAGCCGGUUCCAGGUUGUAAAAUUGCAACGGGAUGCAAGUAAUUUUACGUUUAUGCAUUGACUCGAAUAUACCCCCUUGCCCAUCCUUUUUCUGAAAAAAAGAGAGCCGCGCCUCCGAACGGUUUGUGAGUAUCGGCGGUGACCAGCACGCAAGAGACGGCAGCGUGGUGCUCGGCGAUUUGGAUCUGAGUGAAGCCAUCGGUUGGCUGGCUGCCGGGGCGGCGCGCUACUCGGCGGCGUGGUCUCGAUGUUGUGGUGGUCGCUGGGCAGUUGGCGCGGCGUGGUGUGCGGCGUCUGCCUAGGUCUUGGGCGGCGUCAUGCGUGGUCGUCGCGGCGGAGCUAUGGCGAGUGAUUGUAGCGGCGCUCAAGUGCGUGCCCGUGCUUGUGCUGCUACGUGAAGGCGUUGCUUGCCAUUUGGAUUGAAUUUUGGUUGGGUGUGAGUGCACGGGUUGAGGAACACAAUGUCGGUGCGAUGCUUCCAAAUGCACCAGCAAAAGAGAAGGAAGAACAUCGACCGCUAGUGAGCGACAUCUCGCAGAUUGUGGACAGAGGCUACUGAAGGUGGUUGGAACCACAGCGUGGCCCGGAAAUCAACAAAUAAUGGGUAGACAAAGAAGAGGUGACUCGCCAAUAACAGUGUGGCGGACUGGGCAGGCAACUAGAGGUUUAGAGCAAUGAAAAAGGUGAUUUUGUUCUUGAAUCGUGCUUAACAUUUAUUUAGCAAUCAAGCACUUGCAGCCCGGUUUGAGAUGUGCUUCUUGUUGGUUCAUGUAGACAUGCCAACAAAGGCCUCAUAAAGAAAAAUAGAAAAAAAUACAGUAGAUUGGUUUUGAUUGUUCUCUUGUGUAGACCAAAAUUAGCGAGCAAAAGAAAUUGGAUUUUGGUUCCAAAUUCUUUCCGUGAGUUUAUCCCAGGAAUAAUGUAUUGUUCCUAUUUGAUUUGCUACAUGUAACUUCCGUAGGCAAAUCUUCCACCCGAUGUUUCUGUUCAACAGCUCUCAAAGGCAUAGAGUCAACCAGUCAGACUUUGACCAGAUGUCGAACAUCUUCAGAACCUUGAUUGCUGAUCCUAGAUACCUAAACUCUAUUCUGGCAAGUUGUACAUGUAAUAAUUAGUUCUAGGAGGGUAUGCAGAUUGAAUUUGCUAUAUUGCAGUCUGGACUACAAGCUGCAAUGUUUUGAUAACCAUGGUCUGGAUGUAGAUAAUUUUGAGAAAGCAUACUUCUUUCCAUGUGCAUUUAGGCCUUAUGGGAUUAAUCUCUCUAUCAUCAGUUCUUCUAGUAUUUGAUUGAACCCUCUAAGAUAAUUCCAGUUUCAGUAAUUUAUCAAAUCAAUCUCAUGGGAGAAGAUUUGUCCUUGGUUCAGUCAAAUCUCUUAUAUUUUCUUUAAAUCUACGUGCCUUGUAGUUGUAAGUACUCUACUAUCUUUUCAGUAACAUUCUGACCUAUAUAUGAGAAUUAUGUAGCACCUUUAUUACGACAGUAAUGAUUCACUAAGCUUCUAUCUUACCACAUGGUCCAAUUUAUUUCCAGUUGUUGCCACCUUCCCUGGAUACAUCACACCCUAUAUAGUGUGCUCCUAGCAUGCUUUGUGUUUUUAGAUCAAAACUGUUCGUCUGCAACAAAUUGAAGUGUUGGUCUGGAAAUAAAAUUAUUUAGAAAGAGGCGAACUAUCUGCUCAUUUUCUACCAUCUAAACUAGUAUAGAUAGUGGUACAUGCUAGCGAACAAAUAGUUUAUACCCUAUUUCAGUGUGGGGCACUAUUCUGCUAUUCUGUGGAAGCACCUGCUAUUAUUUUCGUUCAAAGCAUUCAUAAUUUGGGUUUCUGCAAGGGCUCUGAAAAGAAACAUAUUUUUGAUAAAUGUUGCGUGAUGCAUCGUUCUGCGCACCUAAUCGCCUACUUAGAAAAAGAAAUAAAAGUAGCUACAUUCGCGUGUACUUUGGAGUGUGUAUAGAUGGCAGAAUAGUUGUACCCUUGCUUUGUACUAAUAGUUUUAUUUACACUGUAGGUAGUUCACUAUAUAAGUUUCCUGAUAACUGUAGGCUGAUGUUAAUAAUUUUUUUGGAAAGAAUGAAAUAUUAGGAUCUUUGACAUUGCAGAAUUAUGCUAACACGGUGUUUGAGGGUAUCAUUGAUGAGUUUCAAUCUUGGAGAGGUGCAGGCUGCUUGUCUUCUUUCUGAAUCAUGUUCCUCCUAUUUUCUCCCUGUUGGGAGUGUAUAGAGUUCUCCCUGGUGGGCUGUGUAAUCAGCGGGUUAUCUUAGUCCAUGUAUAGAUUCCAGUUUUGUUUCCUUGAGAGUUGACCCUGUAAAUUCUAGCUCUGUUUUCCAAGAGCUGAUACCUAGAGUUUUCCUUGUUUAAAUAAAGUUCA
Triticum aestivum (bread wheat) is the source of this 2405-nucleotide long non-coding RNA. RefSeq lists it as uncharacterized. The record is from RefSeq and is a predicted model, not a curated record. The transcript is spliced from 2 exons. Lineage: Eukaryota; Viridiplantae; Streptophyta; Magnoliopsida; Poales; Poaceae.